This 759-nucleotide ribosomal RNA is filed under the name uncultured Haemophilus sp. Its description in RNAcentral is "bacterial SSU rRNA". It matches the Rfam family "Bacterial small subunit ribosomal RNA", at positions 28 to 776 of the family's 1533-position model. Lineage: Bacteria; Pseudomonadati; Pseudomonadota; Gammaproteobacteria; Pasteurellales; Pasteurellaceae. The record is from RNAcentral.
AUUGAACGCUGGCGGCAGGCUUAACACAUGCAAGUCGAACGGUAGCAGGAGGAAGCUUGCUUUCUUGCUGACGAGUGGCGGACGGGUGAGUAAUGCUUGGGAAUCUGGCUUAUGGAGGGGGAUAACGACGGGAAACUGUCGCUAAUACCGCGUAGUGUCGAGAGACGAAAGGGUGGGACUUUUAGCCACCUGCCAUGAGAUGAGCCCAAGUGGGAUUAGGUAGUUGGUGGGGUAAAGGCCUACCAAGCCUGCGAUCUCUAGCUGGUCUGAGAGGAUGACCAGCCACACUGGAACUGAGACACGGUCCAGACUCCUACGGGAGGCAGCAGUGGGGAAUAUUGCGCAAUGGGGGGAACCCUGACGCAGCCAUGCCGCGUGAAUGAAGAAGGCCUUCGGGUUGUAAAGUUCUUUCGGUAUUGAGGAAGGUUGAUGUGUUAAUAGUACAUCAAAUUGACGUUAAAUACAGAAGAAGCACCGGCUAACUCCGUGCCAGCAGCCGCGGUAAUACGGAGGGUGCGAGCGUUAAUCUGAAUAACUGGGCGUAAAGGGCACGCAUGCGGUUAUUUAAGUGAGGUGUGAAAGCCCCCGGUCUUAACCUGUGAUUGCAUUUCAUACUGGGUAAUUUAUAGUACUUUUGUGGAGGGGUAGAAUUUCUCGUGUUGCGGGUGAAAUGCUGAUAAUGUGGAGGAAUACCGGUGGUGAAGUGUUCCCCUUGUGGACUGUCUGUUGCUCUGGUCGAAUGCGUGGGGAGUGAAUAAU